This is a long non-coding RNA of Glycine soja, 1953 nucleotides long. RefSeq lists it as uncharacterized. The record is from RefSeq and is a predicted model, not a curated record. The transcript is spliced from 2 exons. NCBI's taxonomy places the organism in Eukaryota, Viridiplantae, Streptophyta, Magnoliopsida, Fabales, Fabaceae.
AUUGGAAGGGCAGUUCAGCAGAGCACUCUCAAGGCAUGGGGUGGGAAAGAUGAAAACAUUAAGAAGGCUCAGGGUGCCUUCAUUGCUAGGUGCAAGGCAAACUCACGUGCAACUUUGGGAGAACUUACAAGGGUGAUGCUACCCUUGCUGAGGGUGCCUCCGAGUCUCUCCAUGUCAAGGACUACAAAUACUAACUAGAAAAGGUGUUGGCUUCUUUUGGAGAGUUUUUUUCCACUAUUUGGCACCAACGUUUUCAUGUUCUUUCUUUCAUAGAAGUUAGACUCGGCCGUUUUGCUUUGCGAUCUCGGUUAUAGGAGGUUUACGGAUUAAAGAAUAAUUGCAUCAAGCUAAAUUGGCUUGUUACCGUUGCUUUACAUUUUGGUUUUUCUCUGAUUGAGUUUUGCCAAAGAUGGAAACAAGAAGCACGAGGAAGAGCCACUCAAGGGGUUGUUUUUACUUGGAUAACAAUGGUGACCGGUCCUCUAUUUAUAACCAAGGAGAUGUCUAUUGUGGUAGUAUCAAUUACUAUUAUCAAAUGAGUCUCGGAGGCUACAAACAAGUGAUGGUUCUUCCAAUUCAAAUGUUGGAAAUGCAAUUAGGAGUGAUAAAUGCUUUAAAGCCUCAAUUAUGCAACCUCAACGGUCAUGGGUCCCAAAGCAGUCAAUAAUAUGGUCACCAUGACCUAUCAAGCUAAACAACAUAAAAGAUGUUCUGCUAGACUAAAAGUUGGUAUAAAUAUUUUGAUGUUACUUGCACUUUUCUCUAUCCAUCCUCCUAUAACACAAUAGAGCAUGGUAUCGAAAGAGCAACAUGGAACUCAUAACAUUGAAAACAUAAAAGCAUGUGUUGUCGUCCACAAACAUGGAAGAGGAAAAGGGAAUCGACAAACAUUGAAAGUGUGAUAUGUGCUUUCCUUAUUGAAAAGAGUAGACCCUCCUUUUUUUUCCCACAAAGGUGAAAGUGUGAAAGGUCUGUGGUUGAGGAGGGGAGCUGCAGGUUCCGACUUGCAAGAAGGUUUUGUCAUGAUGAUUGACGAUGGAAGAGGCAUGUUACGAAAUUUAAAUUUGAAUCGCAAUUUUGAAAGGUUCUGUAAAUGGAGGAAAUUACAAAGAAUUGGCAGCAUGACCAGCAAAUAGAUCAUCAUUGGUAAUUAAUCAUGUUGAUGGGUACUAUAUAUGAACUUUUUUGGGACUCACCAAAUUUUUGUCUACAGGUAAAUUGAUCUAUCAUAAAAAAGAUUUGCAGGUAAGAGUCUACGCAUCUUCCGUUUGGUCCUUGAGAGAGACAUGGUUUCAUCCUCCUUGAAAUAUAUUUAGACCCUUAAUUUUAUGUUAAUUUGCGUUUUUUUGUAUGGUACCUAUUUUUACUCAUUUGUCUCCAUUUUACUGAUUAACUAAUAAUUUUUUUUUCUUAUUCAAGGUACACUUUUAUUAUUUUAUGAUAGAUUAGACAAUUUAAACUAGUCUAAUGCCUAACAUUGGCUGCAGAUAAUGAAAAGAAAGAACCACGGCUGGUGGUUAGUUGCAUGCACACUCUUCAGUUUAAUCAUUUUCAGUUUCAUUGUCUUUGUCAAAAAAUAAGUUUUAGCUUCUUGAGUGUUGGUUUGAUUAAAUUUCGAGCAUCCUUAAUCCUUAUGAUUCUAUUUUUUACUUUGGCAGGUUCAGUGGGGAUUUAGGACAACUGAGAUGUACUAAAAUGGAUAAACAAUUAUUUGGACACUAAUGAAAUCAGUAUUUCAACACGUGUCUUAGGAGAUGGUGGACUAGUUCAUACGAAGAAACUCUUAUCAUACAAUAUGGUUUGAAAAUUUUCUUUUAGAAAAAAAAUUGCAGGGACUGUCUGUACUGCUAAAUACAUAUUCUUAUAUGGGAACAAAUUCUAAGAACUGAGUAUCUUUUCCUAGACUUGUUUCUUUGUUUGGUAUGAAAUUAAUACUUUCCUGGAGCUCUACAA